AAGUUUUGCAAAGGAGAUGGCAAUUAGACAAAGGGACAAGUUGAAUCCUAUCGUUUGGUGGGAAAAACAUGGAAGCUCUACACCUGAGCUUACAAAGCUUGCAAGGCGCUUACUUGGCCUUUGUUGCUCAUCCUCUGGUUGUGAGCGCAAUUGGAGCAUAUUUGAGUUUAUUCACACCAAGAAGAGGAAUAGGUUAG
Long non-coding RNA from Telopea speciosissima, 197 nucleotides. RefSeq lists it as uncharacterized. The transcript has 3 exons. The record is from RefSeq and is a predicted model, not a curated record. NCBI's taxonomy places the organism in Eukaryota, Viridiplantae, Streptophyta, Magnoliopsida, Proteales, Proteaceae.